CCGGGUCGGCGGGAUUCGGGUCGGGGACCGGGACCGGGUCGGCGGGAUUCGGGUCGGGGACCGGGACCGGGUCGGCGGGAUUCGGGUCGGGGUUCGGUUCGGUGGCUGCGUCUGCGGGGUCCGGGUCGGCGGGUCCGGGCUGCGGGUCCGGGUUCCGGUUCGGGUCCAGGUCCCGGUUCGGGUCCGGUUUGGCGAGUCCGGAGCGCGGCUCCGAUCCCGGCUCCGAUCCCGGCUCGGCGGGUCCGGGCCGUGGGUCCGGGUGCAUGGGUCCGCGGGGCGGGUGCGGUUCCGGGAGCGGGUCCGUGAGCCCGGGGGCCGGCAGCGGGUCCGGCUCCGUGGAAGCGCGGGGCGGCUCCGGGCCGAGGCUGCGGGAGCGGAACCGGGCGCGGCCCGGGCAAAGGGCGAGCGGGGGGCGGGGCCAGGGCA
RNAcentral lists this long non-coding RNA (426 nucleotides) under Numida meleagris (helmeted guineafowl). RNAcentral's name for it is "lncRNA (ENSNMEG00000005024.1)". The record is from RNAcentral. Lineage: Eukaryota; Metazoa; Chordata; Aves; Galliformes; Numididae.